RNAcentral lists this long non-coding RNA (3612 nucleotides) under Penaeus chinensis. RNAcentral describes it as "uncharacterized LOC125043920". Lineage: Eukaryota; Metazoa; Arthropoda; Malacostraca; Decapoda; Penaeidae. The record is from RNAcentral.
AUAUAUAUAUAUAUAUAUAUAUAUAUAAUAUAUACAUAUAAAUGAUAUAUAAAUGUCUUUAUAUAAUAUAUCAAGUUAUUCGCCUUGAUGACUUGCCAAACAGAACUGCCCACAUAGCGGGAGUUCCGAAGUCCAUCCAAACACUCGUCCACAUGUUAUACAUGCCUCUUGCAGACCGGGUCUCCGGAUCAGAGGGAGAGAGGCGGCCUGCUGUUCCAACGACGGUCACACAAAAGCUAACAGUCGCUCUACGUCGCUGCGGCUGCGCUGGGCAGUGACCGAGGGCCAAGGAUUGUGUGGCGUGGCGGUAGUGGCUGCCCGAUGGUUUGGUAGUUAGAGGGCGGGUUUAGUCACAUUGACAUCACUACAAUGAGAAUAAAAUACAUUUUAAAACAUGAAUGUGUUCAAGUGUCUUUUUAUUGAAACAAAAAAUCUCAUCAGCUGCACACCCAGCCACGAUUUCGGCAGCAAGUGACGAAGGUAAUAAAUAAGCUGCAAUAUCUUAAUUAUAUCCAGAUCGUCGUCAUUUACCGAUGGUCUAAAAAGAGUACACCCGAAUUUACCCCCCAACCCCCAAUGGCUUGUACGCUUAUGAAAAUGAAAAAAAAGGAAGAUUUCUAAAUCGGCGCCUUAAAAAAGGUUAAUAACCAAGGAAUGAAACCAUUACAAUGACAGUGCAUACGAAUAUAGAAAAUUUAAAUUAAGUAAGCCAAUGGAUAAAUAGAUCUAUUAGUUAAGGGUCAAAUACACAUCAAUAUGAACAGAAAAUAACAAAACGCGGAGCAAACUCCCCUAGAGAUUUUAAAUACCUGAGUAUGCCUCCUCAUACAACGCGGGGAAACAACGCGACCGCAAGGGAGGUCAUCCAGAUAGAUUCCAAGUCACGUAUGGUCAACUCCACACGUGAGAGGAAUGUCAGUUUUAACAGGAAGGUUUUGGUAUUCCUUUUUUGAUAAGUUAAACCACUCAGAAACAAAGAACUUCACAGAGCACAUUUUUGAUGAGUUUCGUCUUUGGAGCAUUCUAAGGUCUAGAAAGCGGCUUAUGGCGCAUCAGCGCAGUUUUCGUGACGCAAGAGACAUUCUCAUUGCAUUCAACUAUUUAUAAAACAGCUUUCAAAAAAAAAAAAAAAAAUAUAUAUAUAUAUAUAUAUAUUAGAGCCAAGCUGAUAAUGAAAACUUUCUACAAAUAUUGUAAAGUAUAAAAUUGAAAGUUUAGAACAUUAUCAUUCAUUCCUUGAUAAAAGAAAGUGUAAACCCUACUUUAGUUUUAAAAAAGUUCAGUUAGAGGGCGUUAAACAUAGGGGUGCGCUGGGAUCAGUUCCACUCCCUUCACUUGACGUUCUGCUGAGAUUUUGCUUAACACACAUUAUUUAGGAUUAUAUCUUUACAGAUAUUCUCUUUACCUAAUUUUUGGCGGUAUUCUUUAGUUUGUGAAAUUUUUAAUGAUCGUCUGAUCUUUUGAUAUCUAAAUCACAAAUAUCCAAUAGCAAAAUAAUUAAGGAAUUCACUGCAUCAUGCUGCUGCCACAUAUCUUGCUUUUAAGGCCACAUUGUUAAUGAAGAGCUGUACUUCCAUAAACUGGAUAUGAUUAAUAUGAGUAAAAAAACAACAAAAAAUUACUGUACAAUAGAACAGGAACCAAUGGUAUUUGUAAAAUGGUAUUGCUUCUUAUAAACAACUUCUAGUUAUCAGUUAAUCAUGCAUCUACUUUUUAUGUCCCAACACUACUAAUGCUUAUACCAGUAACAUAUGAAAUAAAAACCUUAGCGACAAAGUAUUAUCUAAAUAGUAAUGUAAGCUUACUAUAUUCAUUUAAUUUUCUUGUGAUAAAUUAGACAGGUUAAAAAAAAAAAGAGCACUGUUUAACAUUUAUUUACACAUAUCACAUGCCUGUACAACAGUUGGACUGAGCCAGUGUUCAAUCAAUAUGCUCAUCAUAUAACAACUUCACAAGAAAUGACAAUGUCAGAAACAGUAUUAUAACAGGUAAUGGAAGAAUAUAAGUUGAAGGUUUGCACAUUUACAAAGCUUUUUUAUGUAAUUAUGUUGCUACAUUUCACUUCCAUUCUUUGUUAACUAUGUAGUAUUCCUGAAAAUACCAUGAAUUCUAAGCUAAGUCUGUAGUUCAAUGUUUACAAGACUUUUACAACUCUUUUAUAUAAUAUAUUUUUAUUUUCUAAAUGUCAUUGUACUAAAUUAUAACAAAUCAAUACAACUAUCAAGAUGUUCUAUACAGUUCUACGCUCUACCCUCAUAAAUUCAUCACACUGCUCUGUACUAUAAAAUACUAGUAAAUGAAUAAUUGCUAUCAUACUCCACCCCUAUUCCCUUAAUCUAUACCUUUGUAUACAAGUACAAACAAACUUAUGGUGAGGCACAACUUGUAUCAAUAAAAGUGGCAGUUUUCAGACUUGGGUGCUAUGUUGAAAUGUACAUUUUUUAUGCAAAAACUAUUUGCCCAAAAUGUCUGUGCAGCUGAAGUAAUUACAUAGUGGUUAAUAUCUACACAUGUCACAAAGAGAGUUAAAGUUCUGCAUACAUAAUCUGAAUAACUUGAUUAGCUUAUGUGUUAUUUAUGUAUUUGCUAUGAGCUGGUCCUACAGUAAUAUAUAAUUAACUAAUUGGCAGAGUAGCUGGUUGGUGAUCUAAAAGAUGGUGAUAUUUUUUCAUCCUAUGCAACUGUGUUUAAAAGUGAAGAUGAAUGUACAGUGUCUAAUAGAUCAUAGUCCAGUUUUUAUUGUCAACUUUAACUAAGCCACAGCAUUCAACUACAGUAAAAUGGUAAUGCUUUUAACUGAAUGGGUUACUAACAGUUCUUUUCCUACUUACAAAACUGUAACAAUAACUUUCUGGAAUCCAUCCAUGGAGUGUAGACCAUAGUAUUGUAUUGCCACAUCAAAGAGACUUGCUGCAAUGCACAGAAAAUAUAUUCUGUGAAUAUAUAAGAACUUCUAAAAGACAUAAUUACACACACAUACACACACACACACACACACACACACACAUAUAUAUAUAUAUAUAUAUAUAUAUAUAUAUAUAUAUAUAUAUAUAUAUAUAUAUUUAUGGUUUCAAUUCCAUUACCUUUGAUGUACAAAGCCAUAGGUUUUAUGCUGCGUUGAAUAUAGUCAACACAUGUUAUUAUCAUGUUACUAUUAUGUAUAUUAAUAAGAGGCAUUACAUGUAUGACAGACAUUCUUUCAUCCUGGGGUAUGAGUUUGCAUGAACCAGGACAUGAGGCAGCACGCUGAGACAUUAUAUGUUAACUAGUUAAUCUGAUCUUCAUCACUUUCAAAUCUUACUACUGAAGCAAAAUCCUCUGCAUUGUAUCAAAUUAACUUUAUACUUUCAUAAAUGGCACUAAUUGAUUAAUGACACAUAAAACAUUGCCAUAAAUCUAAAUGUUAACAAAAAUAUUGACCUUUUCUAGCUAAAUAUUAGAAAAUGCAUAACUAACUUUCCUAGGUCUACUGCACAUAUGCAUAUCUAAGUCUAGCCUCUAUGUUGAUUACCCUUGCAUAGGUAUGUGCAUGUGCGCACAUACACACACACACACACACACACACACACACACACACACACACACACACACACACACACACACACACACACA